Molecule: long non-coding RNA, 335 nt
Organism: Ahaetulla prasina
Lineage: Eukaryota; Metazoa; Chordata; Lepidosauria; Squamata; Colubridae
Exons: 3
Source: RefSeq, a predicted model, not a curated record
CCCGCGUGCAGUGGAGGAAGGCAGCGUGUCAGGAGUGAAGGGUUGCGCCUCUCGCUUACACGGGUUCCAGUUAAGUAGCUGAAGAGAUCUGGAAUUAUGAAUCACGCCAGGAAAGCAAUUUUUAACAUGUUCGGAGCAGAGCCCCUCUCCUAUACUCGCUUCAGUUUGGCCCGACAGCCGGAUGGAGACAGCAGCCGGGUGGAAAUGAAACUCUCGGCCGAGGAAGAGGAAGGAGGGGAAAACGGCAUGAUCGACCAUCUGCCCCCCCGGAAAGUCAAAGCCAGGAGCCAUCGGAACCUCUGCUGUGUGUGUGGCGGGGCGGCCCUGCUUUUCCU